AUUUUAAUGGCCGCGGUAUUUUGACCGUGCAAAGGUAGCAUAAUAAUUAGCUUAUUAAUUGUGAGCUUGUAUGAAUGGUUGGACGAAAUAUUAACUGUCUCGUAUUUAUUAUUAGAAUUUAAUUUUUGAGUUAAAAAGCUUAGAUUUUUUUAUAGGACGAGAAGACCCUAUAGAUCUUUAUUUUCAUUAUUUAUUUUUUUUUUUGAAUUUAUUUAUAUUUCUUGAAUUUUUAGUUGGGGUGAUUUANAGAUAUAAUUAACUCUUUAUUUUAUUUUUCAUUUAUUUAUGUUUAUUUGACCUUUUAUUAUUGUUUAUAANAAAAAGAUACCUUAGGGAUAACAGCGUAAUUCUUUUUGAGAGUUCUUAUUGACAAGGGAGAUUGCGACCUCGAUGUUGAAUUAAGAUUAAUAUUAGGUGAAG
Molecule: ribosomal RNA, 420 nt
Filed under: Phyllium ericoriai
Lineage: Eukaryota; Metazoa; Arthropoda; Insecta; Phasmatodea; Phylliidae
Description: partial large subunit ribosomal RNA
Source: RNAcentral